Molecule: ribosomal RNA, 921 nt
Filed under: Ramularia endophylla
Lineage: Eukaryota; Fungi; Ascomycota; Dothideomycetes; Mycosphaerellales; Mycosphaerellaceae
Description: LSU rRNA
Rfam family: Eukaryotic large subunit ribosomal RNA
Source: RNAcentral
ACCCGCUGAACUUAAGCAUAUCAAUAAGCGGAGGAAAAGAAACCAACAGGGAUUGCCCUAGUAACGGCGAGUGAAGCGGCAACAGCUCAAAUUUGAAAUCUGGCGCAAGCCCGAGUUGUAAUUUGUAGAGGACGCUUCUAGGUAGCGACCGGUCUAAGUUCCUUGGAACAGGACGUCAUAGAGGGUGAGAAUCCCGUAUGUGACUGGCCCGCACCUUCUACGUAGCUCCUUCGACGAGUCGAGUUGUUUGGGAAUGCAGCUCUAAAUGGGAGGUAAAUUUCUUCUAAAGCUAAAUACCGGCCAGAGACCGAUAGCGCACAAGUAGAGUGAUCGAAAGAUGAAAAGCACUUUGGAAAGAGAGUUAAAAAGCACGUGAAAUUGUUGAAAGGGAAGCGCUCACAACCAGACUUCUAGGCAGUGUUCCGCCGGUCUUUUGACCGGUCUACUCUCUGUCUCGAGGCCAACAUCAUCUGGGACCGCCGGAUAAGACCUUAGGAAUGUAGCUCCCCUCGGGGAGUGUUAUAGCCUCUGGUGAUGCGGCGCGUCUCGGGUGAGGUCCGCGCUUCGGCAAGGAUGUUGGCGUAAUGGUUGUCAGCGGCCCGUCUUGAAACACGGACCAAGGAGUCUAACAUCUAUGCGAGUGUUCGGGUGUCAAACCCCUACGCGUAAUGAAAGUGAACGGAGGUGGGAAGCGUAAGCUGCACCAUCGACCGAUCCUGAUGUCCUCGGAUGGAUUUGAGUAAGAGCAUAGCUGUUGGGACCCGAAAGAUGGUGAACUAUGCCUGAAUAGGGUGAAGCCAGAGGAAACUCUGGUGGAGGCUCGCAGCGGUUCUGACGUGCAAAUCGAUCGUCAAAUUUGGGUAUAGGGGCGAAAGACUAAUCGAACCAUCUAGUAGCUGGUUCCUGCCGAAGUUUCCCUCA